This 1394-nucleotide long non-coding RNA is filed under the name Medicago truncatula (barrel medic). RNAcentral's name for it is "lncRNA gene24533". Lineage: Eukaryota; Viridiplantae; Streptophyta; Magnoliopsida; Fabales; Fabaceae. The record is from RNAcentral.
CAAGUUUUUUUAAAGGCACUGAGACAUUUGUUAGCGUUUUCUAAAAAUAUAUAAUGUCUCAAGCAUGUAAUCAAUAAAUAGGGUUUAUCCUAUAAGAGUGCCAGAGUGGUAUGAUGCAACAUGCAUGCAUCUAUGAGAACUUUGUCUCUUGGAUCAAACAACAUCACAUCUAUUUCCCAAUAAAAAAUAUUACUAGGUUGUUCAAUUUUCUAAUUUAUUACUUGUGAACACGUUACCCUGAUACUUUAGACUUUUGUUGAAUGAUUUAAUGUCAUAUUAUUUUAACUAUUUAGAAGUGAAUAAUUCUCCUUAUUUUAAACUAGUAAUUUGAGAUAACAUGGUCAUUUUAAGAUAUUAAUUUUUCACGACAUAUAUUUUUCUAUAUGUGCCGGAAAUAUUACUAAUCUUCUAUUAUUAUUUGUGGAAGAAACUAUUUUGAUUGUUAGGAUUUGAAUUUUGUUUUGAUAACUUCAUAUUGACUUCUAAUAUUUUUAUAUGUAUCAUUAGUGAUAUGUCCCAACUUAUAAUCUUCCUGACUAUUUCAUCUUAAUUUUUGUUUUUGAAAAAAAUGAAAUUCUUUUACCAUUAAAAAAAGAGUUAGGAUCCUUUAACAACCAGGUGUCAACGGAUUCGUUGACACCAAAUCAUACCCGUCAAUUCUUUUAAUCCAAAAGCCUAUAAUUAACCCGUGUUUCUUUUUCUUGUGUAUCAUUUCUCUCAUUCACACACAAUUAUUGCUUUUAGUGAUUGAAAAACUCAAACUGAAAACAUGGAGUAUUGAUACUCGUUAUUCUCUUCUGGGAAAAUUGUUUUUCUCUUCCCCCACUCCUAUGAAUAUUAUUAUUCUUGUUUGAAUCUCCUUUCCCUCUUAUUUAACUCCUCGUAUCUAUUGCAGCACAUGAAGGAAAUUUAUGCCAAGCUUAUGAUAAAAUCACAAUUGGAGAGGAUAAUGGUGAAAGUAGGAGAUUGUUAGAUGAGUUUGCUUUUAAUUUUAGGUGUUUAACCAUGAUUGAAUAUGAAUUUCCUUCAAAAAAAAAUGAUUGAAUAUGAAUUAAAAUAAUCCUAGGGUUUUAUCGUUUCAAAUGAUUGGAUAUCAACAAAAUGAAUUUUAUAGUUUUGGUAGAAUGGAAAACCCUUCUAAUUGAAUUGAUAUCAAAUCCCAGUAUUGAGAAAAAAAAUAAAGAAUUAGAUUAGCUAAAUAUGUGUAGAGGUGAUUGAGUAAUUGAGAUCUAAGAGUACGACAGCACACAUACUUUCACAGCAGGUUAGAUGCGUUAACAAGGGAAGCAGAAACGAGUUUUCCCAACAAGGGAAGGGAGGAAUCAAGGGAAGAAAGCCCACAGAAGUAAAUUUAACAAACAAUGACGGGUCUUUGGAUUAAAAAAAUAGACGGA